UGGGGAAUAUUGGACAAUGGGCGAAAGCCUGAUCAAGCCAUGCCGCGUGUGUGAAGAAGGUCUUCGGAUUGUAAAGCACUUUAAGUUGGGAGGAAGGGCAGUAAGCGAAUACCUUGCUGUUUUGACGUUACCGACAGAAUAAGCACCGGCUAACUCUGUGCCAGCAGCCGCGGUAAUACAGAGGGUGCAAGCGUUAAUCGGAAUUACUGGGCGUAAAGCGCGCGUAGGUGGUUCGUUAAGUUGAAUGUGAAAGCCCCGGGCUCAACCUGGGAACUGCAUCCAAAACAGGCGAGCUAGAGUAGGGCAGAGGGUGGUGGAAUUUCCUGUGUAGCGGUGAAAUGCAUGGAUAUAGGAAGGAACACAAGUGGCGAAGGCGACCACCUGGGCUCAUACUGACACUGAAGUGCGAAAGAGUGGGGCGCAAGCAGG
RNAcentral lists this ribosomal RNA (429 nucleotides) under Pseudomonadota bacterium. Its description in RNAcentral is "Proteobacteria bacterium partial 16S ribosomal RNA". It matches the Rfam family "Bacterial small subunit ribosomal RNA", at positions 355 to 776 of the family's 1533-position model. Lineage: Bacteria; Pseudomonadati; Pseudomonadota. The record is from RNAcentral.